RNAcentral lists this ribosomal RNA (253 nucleotides) under uncultured bacterium. RNAcentral's name for it is "partial 16S ribosomal RNA". It matches the Rfam family "Bacterial small subunit ribosomal RNA", at positions 524 to 776 of the family's 1533-position model. The record is from RNAcentral.
UACGUAGGAGGCAAGCGUUGUCCGGAAUUACUGGGCGUAAAGCGCGUGUAGGUGGUGGGACAAGUCUGCUGUGAAAGCGCCUGGCUUAACCGGGCGAGGUCGGCGGAAACUGUCGCACUCGAGGACGGUAGAGGGGGGUGGAAUUCCCGGUGUAGUGGUGAAAUGCGUAGAUAUCGGGAGGAACACCAGUGGCGAAGGCGACUACCUGGCCUGUUCUUGACGCUGAGGCGCGAAAGCUAGGGGAGCAAACGGG